GGCGCACGGGUGCGCAACACGUACAGAACCUUCCUUUAAGCGGGGGAUAGCCCGGAGAAAUCCGGAUUAAUACCCCAUAGUAAUAUUUGGUGGCAUCAUCAGAUAUUUAAAGAUUUAUCACUUAGAGAUGGCUGUGCGUCUGAUUAGGUAGUUGGUUGGGGUAAUGGCCCACCAAGCCUUCGAUCAGUAACUGGUGUGAGAGCACGACCAGUCACACGGGCACUGAGACACGGGCCCGACUCCUACGGGAGGCAGCAGUAAGGAAUAUUGGUCAAUGGAGGCAACUCUGAACCAGCCAUGCCGCGUGAAGGAUGAAGGUCCUCUGGAUUGUAAACUUCUUUUAUGUGGGAAGAAAUGCAUUCUUUAUAGAGUGUUUGACGGUACCAUAGGAAUAAGCACCGGCUAACUCCGUGCCAGCCGCCGCGG
RNAcentral lists this ribosomal RNA (426 nucleotides) under uncultured bacterium. RNAcentral's name for it is "bacterial SSU rRNA". It matches the Rfam family "Bacterial small subunit ribosomal RNA", at positions 97 to 520 of the family's 1533-position model. The record is from RNAcentral.